Molecule: ribosomal RNA, 105 nt
Filed under: Metamycoplasma hominis
Lineage: Bacteria; Bacillati; Mycoplasmatota; Mycoplasmoidales; Metamycoplasmataceae
Description: Mycoplasma hominis partial 16S ribosomal RNA
Source: RNAcentral
CUGGAUACGAAUACCAUUAACGUCAAUUUAUUUUUUUAUUUAUAAUCAACCAAUUCAAAUUUUUUUAUAAGAGUUUGAUCCUGGCUCAGGAUGAACGCUGGCUGU